This 278-nucleotide signal recognition particle RNA is filed under the name Cebus imitator (Panamanian white-faced capuchin). Its description in RNAcentral is "Metazoan signal recognition particle RNA (ENSCCAG00000007277.1)". It matches the Rfam family "Metazoan signal recognition particle RNA". Rfam says of the family: The signal recognition particle (SRP) is a universally conserved ribonucleoprotein. Lineage: Eukaryota; Metazoa; Chordata; Mammalia; Primates; Cebidae. The record is from RNAcentral.
GCCGGGCGCGGUGACGUAUAGUCCCAGCUACUCGGGGAGGCUGAGGCUGGAGGAUCACUUGAGUCCAGGAGUUCUGGUCUGUAGUGCACUUUGCCGAUUGGGUGUCCGCACUAGUUCGGCAUCAAUAUGGUGACCUCCCGGGAGCGGGGGACCACCAGGUUGCCUAAGGAAGGGUGAACUGGCCCAAGUCGGAAACGGAGCAGGUCAAAUCUCCCGUGCUGAUCAGUAGUGGGAUCGCGCCUGUGCAUUAGCUGGGCCUGGUGGUAAUCCCAGCUACU